Molecule: ribosomal RNA, 551 nt
Filed under: uncultured Acaulospora
Lineage: Eukaryota; Fungi; Glomeromycota; Glomeromycetes; Diversisporales; Acaulosporaceae
Description: SSU rRNA
Rfam family: Eukaryotic small subunit ribosomal RNA
Source: RNAcentral
UUGGAGGGCAAGUCUGGUGCCAGCAGCCGCGGUAAUUCCAGCUCCAAUAGCGUAUAUUAAAGUUGUUGCAGUUAAAAAGCUCGUAGUUGAAUUUCGGGGUCUGUCUAUCGGUCGGGCUUCACUGUCCGUACUGGUUUGAUGGAUUCUUACCUUCUGAAUAACCAUCAUGCCAUUAAUUUGGUGCGUUGGGGAAGCAGAGCUAUUACCUUGAAAAAAUUAGAGUGCUUAAAGCAGGCUAGCGCCUGAAUAGAUUAGCAUGGAAUAAUGAAAUAGGACGGCAUGGUUCUAUUUUGUUGGUUUCUAGGAUCACCAUAAUGAUUAAUAGGGAUAGUUGGGGGCAUUAGUAUUCAAUUGUCAGAGGUGAGAUUCUUGGAUUUAUUGAAGACUAACUACUGCGAAAGCAUUUGCCAAGGAUGUUUUCAUUAAUCAAGAACGAAAGUUAGGGGAUCGAAGACGAUCAGAUGCCGUCGUAGUCUUAACCAUAAACUAUGCCGACUAGGGAUCGGACGAAGUUAAUUUUUUAAUGACUCGUUCGGCGCCUUACGGGAAAC